AAUGUCAGAGCAGGGAGCCUGAAGGAUGGCCCCUCUGUUCACAACACACCUGACAGGAAUAUGGGAUCAUUGUGACAAAGGGCACAAUACUUGCAGCCUCCCUGUGAAUAAAUGCCCUACAUGU
Molecule: small nucleolar RNA, 124 nt
Organism: Cynocephalus volans (Philippine flying lemur)
Lineage: Eukaryota; Metazoa; Chordata; Mammalia; Dermoptera; Cynocephalidae
Product: small nucleolar RNA SNORA11
Exons: 1
Source: RefSeq, a predicted model, not a curated record